RNAcentral lists this transfer RNA (67 nucleotides) under Cerceris sp. SJW-2017. RNAcentral describes it as "tRNA-Met". It matches the Rfam family "tRNA". Rfam says of the family: Transfer RNA (tRNA) molecules are approximately 80 nucleotides in length. Their secondary structure includes four short double-helical elements and three loops (D, anti-codon, and T loops). Further hydrogen bonds mediate the characteristic L-shaped molecular structure. tRNAs have two regions of fundamental functional importance: the anti-codon, which is responsible for specific mRNA codon recognition, and the 3' end, to which the tRNAs corresponding amino acid is attached (by aminoacyl-tRNA synthetases). tRNAs cope with the degeneracy of the genetic code in two manners: having more than one tRNA (with a specific anti-codon) for a particular amino acid; and 'wobble' base-pairing, i.e. permitting non-standard base-pairing at the 3rd anti-codon position. Lineage: Eukaryota; Metazoa; Arthropoda; Insecta; Hymenoptera; Crabronidae. The record is from RNAcentral.
AUAUAAAUAAACUAAUAUAAGUUAUUAGAUUCAUAAUCUAAAGAUAGAAUUAAAUUUCUUUUAUAUA